This 253-nucleotide ribosomal RNA is filed under the name uncultured prokaryote. Its description in RNAcentral is "partial 16S ribosomal RNA". It matches the Rfam family "Bacterial small subunit ribosomal RNA", at positions 524 to 776 of the family's 1533-position model. The record is from RNAcentral.
UACAGAGGUCCCGAGCGUUGUUCGGAUUCACUGGGCGUAAAGGGUGCGUAGGUGGCUUGGUAAGUUUGAUGUGAAAGCUCAGGGCUUAACCCUGAAAUGGCAUUGAAUACUACUGAGCUGGAGGUUUGGAGGGGGGACUGGAAUUCUUGGUGUAGCAGUGAAAUGCGUAGAUAUCGAGAGGAACACCAGUGGCGAAGGCGAGUCUCUGGACAUUUCCUGACGCUGAGGCACGAAAGCCAGGGGAGCAAACGGG